This 93-nucleotide transfer RNA is filed under the name Patescibacteria group bacterium. RNAcentral describes it as "tRNA-Leu". It matches the Rfam family "tRNA". Rfam says of the family: Transfer RNA (tRNA) molecules are approximately 80 nucleotides in length. Their secondary structure includes four short double-helical elements and three loops (D, anti-codon, and T loops). The record is from RNAcentral.
GCCGAGGUGAUGGAAUUGGUAGACAUACAGGGCUUAAAACCCUGAGAAGGAAUAAAUCCCUUCGUGUGGGUUCGAUUCCCACCCUCGGCACCA